UAGCGAUAACAAGGCCCAAGCUUCAU
RNAcentral lists this non-coding RNA (26 nucleotides) under Rattus norvegicus (Norway rat). Lineage: Eukaryota; Metazoa; Chordata; Mammalia; Rodentia; Muridae. The record is from RNAcentral.